RNAcentral lists this ribosomal RNA (419 nucleotides) under uncultured Glomus. RNAcentral's name for it is "SSU rRNA". It matches the Rfam family "Eukaryotic small subunit ribosomal RNA", at positions 569 to 993 of the family's 1831-position model. Lineage: Eukaryota; Fungi; Glomeromycota; Glomeromycetes; Glomerales; Glomeraceae. The record is from RNAcentral.
AGCAGCCGCGGUAAUUCCAGCUCCAAUAGCGUAUAUUAAAGUUGUUGCAGUUAAAAAGCUCGUAGUUGAAUUUCGGGGUCAGUAGAUUGGUCGUGCCACUGGUAUGCACUGGUCUUACUGGCUCCUCCUUCCUGAUGAACCGUAAUGCCAUUAAUUUGGUGUUGCGGGGAGACUGGACUGUUACUUUGAAAAAUUAGAGUGUUUAAAGCAGGCUAACGCUUGAAUACAUUAGCAUGGAAUAAUGAAAUAGGACGUUCGAUCUUAUUUUGUUGGUUUCUAAGAUUGACGUAAUGAUUAAUAGGGAUAGUUGGGGGCAUUAGUAUUCAAUUGUCAGAGGUGAAAUUCUUGGAUUUAUUGAAGACUAACUACUGCGAAAGCAUUUGCCAAGGAUGUUUUCAUUAAUCAAGAACGAAAGUUAG